This 256-nucleotide ribosomal RNA is filed under the name uncultured bacterium. RNAcentral's name for it is "partial 16S ribosomal RNA". It matches the Rfam family "Bacterial small subunit ribosomal RNA", at positions 335 to 607 of the family's 1533-position model. The record is from RNAcentral.
CAUCCUACGGGAGGCAGCAGUGGGGGAUAUUGCACAAUGGGGGGAACCCUGAUGCAGCGACGCCGCGUGGGUGAAGGAGCGUUUCGGCGCGUAAAGCCCUAUCGGCAGGGAAGAAGGAGGACGGUACCUGACUAAGAAGCCCCGGCUAACUACGUGCCAGCAGCCGCGGUAAUACGUAGGGGGCAAGCGUUAUCCGGAUUUACUGGGUGUAAAGGGAGCGUAGGCGGGAUGGAAAGUUGGGUGUUAAAUCUACCGG